GCUUUAUGCCCGCUGUUGCUGGCGCGUGCGCGUAUCAGCCUUGGCUGGCUGGUGUAUGUCCGCUGGAUUGUGAGGCCCGGGAUCUGGGCUCCGCCGUGGUGCAGAAAUGCUGUGCCGGCUCGGCGGUCGGUGGCUGCGGCCGCUCCCUGCCCUGCAGCUUUGGGCUAGGGACCUGCCGCUUGCGCCGGUUCCUACGAGCGGCGCCAAGCGCCCCACUCUCCCAGUGUGGGCAGUGGCACCAGUCUCGGCAGUACAUGCGAACGGCUGGUACGAGGCCCUGGCCGCGUCUUCGCCGGUGCGGGUUGCGGAGGAAGUACUGCUCGGCGUGCACGCCGCCACGGGCCUGCCCUGGUGGGGCAGCAUUCUGCUCUCCACCGUGGCCUUACGGGGUGCUGUCACGCUGCCUUUGGCAGCCUACCAGCACUACAUCCUGGCCAAGGUUGUGAGCAUGGGGAAAAAAAAAACGGAAACAAAACGAACGGAAUCAGCAGCAACAUUAAGGCAGUGAGCCAUUUUACAGGAAGAAUGAGCACAGGGCAGGAAUAAA
This 547-nucleotide small RNA is filed under the name Pan troglodytes (chimpanzee). RNAcentral's name for it is "processed transcript". Lineage: Eukaryota; Metazoa; Chordata; Mammalia; Primates; Hominidae. The record is from RNAcentral.